AAGCGGCAAGAGCUCAAAUUUGAAAUCUGGCCCCCCCAGGGUCCGAGUUGUAAUUUGGAGAGGAUGCUUCGGGCGCGGUUCCCGUCUAAGUGCCCCUGGAACGGGCUGUCAUAGAGGGUGAGAACCCCGUCUGGGAUGGGCCCAUCGCGCCCGUGUGAAGCUCCUUCGACGAGUCGAGUUGUUUGGGAAUGCAGCUCUAAGCGGGUGGUAAAUUUCAUCUAAAGCUAAAUACUGGCCGGAGACCGAUAGCGCACAAGUAGAGUGAUCGAAAGAUGAAAAGCACUUUGAAAAGAGAGUCAAACAGCACGUGAAAUUGUUGAAAGGGAAGCGUUGGCCACCAGACGCGCCUGGGGGGGCUCAGCCGGCACAUGUGCCGGCGUAUUUCCCCCCGGACGGGUCAGCAUCGGUUUGGGCGGUCGCUGAAAGGCGCCGGGAAUGUAGCACCCUCCGGGGUGCCUUAUAGCCCGGAGCGUCAUGCGGCCUGCCGGGACCGAGGACCGCGCUUCGGCGAGGAUGCUGGCGUAAUGGUGGUCAACGGCCCG
This 542-nucleotide ribosomal RNA is filed under the name Trichocomaceae sp. RNAcentral's name for it is "partial large subunit ribosomal RNA". It matches the Rfam family "Eukaryotic large subunit ribosomal RNA", at positions 96 to 651 of the family's 3401-position model. Lineage: Eukaryota; Fungi; Ascomycota; Eurotiomycetes; Eurotiales; Trichocomaceae. The record is from RNAcentral.